AUGUUCCCAAAUGGUACAUGCCGGCCGCUGCCACGCCGGGAAGAGUCUUGCUUUGUAAUGGCCGGUGAGGAGGAGGUGCAGGUGGUAGAGUCUUGCUUUGUAAUGCCGGCCGCUGCCACGCCGGGAAGAGCGCUGCGGCUGUCGCCGCUCGACCUCAUGCUGGCCAACAAAGGCCACACCCCACUUGUUCAUUUCUACCGUCGAUGUGGUUCCGUCGGAACCACCAAGGACGACUUCUUUGAUGUGGCCAGGUUGAAGACGGCAUUGGGCAAGGCUCUCGUGGCCUUCUACCCCCUAGCCGGCCGUCUCAGGCCGGACGCCAAGGGCAAAUUGGAGAUCGACUGCAACGGCGAGGGUUUACCUUUCCUUGUGGCUCGCUCUCGUCUAACUGCUGAUGACUUUAGAGACUUCAAGCCAUCACCAAGGCUAAGGAGGUUGUUUGUUCCCCUCGUCGACGACUCAGCAGGCAUCUUGUGCGCCAUUCAGGUGACAUUCUUGAAGUGUGGAGGGGUGGUCUUAGGGACGGCGACGCACCAUGGCGCUGUGGAUGGAACUGCCGCAUUCCACUUCUUCCGGACAUGGUCAGCUUUCUCUAGGGACGGCGACCGGGCUGUGGUGAACCUCCCUUACCAUGACCGCACCCGCUUAUGUGCACGCGACCCACCCAUUGUUCACCCCGACGCACUCUCAACUUUUUUCCCCAAGAUAAUCCUAUCCCGGACUCUGGGGCCUGUUGUCAACGAGGUGUUCACUCUUCAGAAGGACCAAGUUUCCACUCUUAAGCACAUUUGUGGUGGCGCAAGCGUGAGGACCUUCAGUGUCGUCAGUGCCCAUGUGUGGCAAUGCAUGUGUUUAGCCCGACGGCUACCACCGAACUCCACAACACGCUUGGCUUUUGUGGCCAACAUCCGGCGAAGCAUGAUGCCGCCACUCCCGGAUGGCUACUUUGGCAACGCGUUAAUAAAUCUAAGUGUUGCCGACGAAGCGCGGCGCAUUGCCUUGGGCGAGCUGGCCUACAUCGCACGCCGAAUCAGAGACACCAUCAGCCGGGUGAAUGAUGAGCUAGUGCAUUCGGCGGUCGACUACCUUGAGUUGGCAUUAACAAAGACAGACAACAGCACUGCUUUAGGAAGUCUGCCGGCGACAGAUAUGCGAAUGGUCAGUUGGCUUGGCAUGCCAUUCUAUGAUUUGGAUUUUAGUUGGGGAAAGCCAUUAGCUACUUUGUGUGCUGAAUCGAACCGUGGAGGCUUUGCGCACCUGCUGGAGAGCGUGCAGGGGGAUGGCAGCGUGCGCGUCAUCAUGUGUAUAGAGGCUGCAGUUCUCAAGGAGUUCGAGUGUUUGUUCUAUGCCAAGUCCGGGGCCAUGAUGUAUUCCAAGUUCUAG
RNAcentral lists this ribosomal RNA (1383 nucleotides) under Triticum aestivum (bread wheat). RNAcentral describes it as "partial small subunit ribosomal RNA". Lineage: Eukaryota; Viridiplantae; Streptophyta; Magnoliopsida; Poales; Poaceae. The record is from RNAcentral.